RNAcentral lists this ribosomal RNA (800 nucleotides) under Bacillus safensis. RNAcentral's name for it is "bacterial SSU rRNA". It matches the Rfam family "Bacterial small subunit ribosomal RNA", at positions 38 to 821 of the family's 1533-position model. The record is from RNAcentral. Lineage: Bacteria; Bacillati; Bacillota; Bacilli; Caryophanales; Bacillaceae.
GGAGGGCCGCUUCUAUACAUGCAGUCGAGCGGACAGAAGGGAGCUUGCUCCCGGAUGUUAGCGGCGGACGGGUGAGUAACACGUGGGUAACCUGCCUGUAAGACUGGGAUAACUCCGGGAAACCGGAGCUAAUACCGGAUAGUUCCUUGAACCGCAUGGUUCAAGGAUGAAAGACGGUUUCGGCUGUCACUUACAGAUGGACCCGCGGCGCAUUAGCUAGUUGGUGAGGUAACGGCUCACCAAGGCGACGAUGCGUAGCCGACCUGAGAGGGUGAUCGGCCACACUGGGACUGAGACACGGCCCAGACUCCUACGGGAGGCAGCAGUAGGGAAUCUUCCGCAAUGGACGAAAGUCUGACGGAGCAACGCCGCGUGAGUGAUGAAGGUUUUCGGAUCGUAAAGCUCUGUUGUUAGGGAAGAACAAGUGCAAGAGUAACUGCUUGCACCUUGACGGUACCUAACCAGAAAGCCACGGCUAACUACGUGCCAGCAGCCGCGGUAAUACGUAGGUGGCAAGCGUUGUCCGGAAUUAUUGGGCGUAAAGGGCUCGCAGGCGGUUUCUUAAGUCUGAUGUGAAAGCCCCCGGCUCAACCGGGGAGGGUCAUUGGAAACUGGGAAACUUGAGUGCAGAAGAGGAGAGUGGAAUUCCACGUGUAGCGGUGAAAUGCGUAGAGAUGUGGAGGAACACCAGUGGCGAAGGCGACUCUCUGGUCUGUAACUGACGCUGAGGAGCGAAAGCGUGGGGAGCGAACAGGAUUAGAUACCCUGGUAGUCCACGCCGUAAACGAUGAGUGCUAAGU